Oryza sativa Indica Group (long-grained rice) is the source of this 205-nucleotide microRNA precursor. It matches the Rfam family "MIR812 microRNA precursor family". Lineage: Eukaryota; Viridiplantae; Streptophyta; Magnoliopsida; Poales; Poaceae. The record is from Rfam.
AAAAAAAGACAUCCUGAUUUUCGUGUCCAAUAUUUAACCGUCCGUCUUAUUUAAAAAAAUUAUAAAAAAAAUUAAAAAGAUAAGUCACGCAUAAAAUAUUAAUCAUGUUUUAUCAUCUAACAACAAUAAAAAUACGAAUUAUAAAAAAAUUUCAUAUAAGACGAACAGUCAAAAUUGUACACGAAAACCUAUAGUUUGACUUUUU